Macrobrachium nipponense is the source of this 1343-nucleotide long non-coding RNA. RefSeq lists it as uncharacterized. The transcript has 2 exons. Lineage: Eukaryota; Metazoa; Arthropoda; Malacostraca; Decapoda; Palaemonidae. The record is from RefSeq and is a predicted model, not a curated record.
UCUGAUAUUAAAUUAUUAAAGGAAUUAAGUGAAAAACCAAUUGAUUUAUUCAAUUAUUUGCUUAAGUUUCAGAUCGAUAGAGUUCAAUGAAUUCAACAAUCACUUCAUUUUGUUUACGUGCCAUCUCGACAAACUGCACUCACCGCUACCGUCCUGUAGAAAUGAGAAGUUGAGAACUGUACAGUUACGAAUCCCCACACACGCUCAGUUCAGUUACUCCUUUCAGUUAAAAAUAUAGAACAUUGCAUUUGUCUCAGUUUAACUGUACAGUUUUGUUGAACUGACAAAAUGAGCAACUGAGAUACCCAUACACGUGCAGUUUUAACUGACAGUUAUAACUGAACAGUUAUAACUGUGAUUUAAAACUGCACGUGUGUGGCCGGCUUUAGGCUACGUGCGAGUAAUUCGUCAUCUACACCAAAUCGCCUUCUCAGAGUGAUCUAGAGUGAUCUGGAAUGUCCUUAUCUUUGGUCUAGAUAUGAAAAUUCUUAUCAUCUGCUGCUGGUUCUCGUGGAUAUAUAUAAAGCCAGCUCCCCAACCACAACACCAAUAUACUCUCGAAACUUGCAAGGAGAAGAUUCAGAAAACCUGUGUAGACGCACAAUUUACAGAUCAGUUAUUCUCUAGCAAAAUCUACGGUGUUAAAUCUGUUUAAGUCUUCUUAAUCAAAUCAUCUGAUAAACCAUAAGCGAAUAUCCACUUCUGUUUCAAAAGAACAGCCCAAAUUCAAUACGUUUUCCUAAGACAUAGGCCUAAGCUGAAGUCAAAAUGGUUCAACAACAGUUCGUGCAAGAUGAAGCCUUCAGUGUCCCAAAGAAUAAUUUUGAACCGAAUGACGCCAGGACACGCUGCUGCUCCACUGACAGCACAAACAGCAGCGAAGUCAGCUUUGUCAGCAGCGUCGACAGCCAGGCGUCAGCCGACUCAUCCAAGCGUAGCAAAUCUAAGAAGAGCUGAGUCAAAAGGAUUUUUAAGAAACACGAAAAGAAGAAUAUUUUAAUGACAAACACUCUGCUUUCCUAUACAUAUCUGUAGAUUCCUAAAGAGAUUUGUUCAUAGGUCUGUAUAUAUUAUUUAUAUACAGGUAAGAAUCUGUAAAAUACGACCAAAAGCCAUUUAGUGUUAUAAGUCUGUGGCGUCCUUGUUUACAUGUCAAGUAGGCCUAUAUUCAUAAAGAUUUUGUACCUGAUAUUUGUCGUCUCGUCUGGGCCUAUAUCAAACCAGAAUAGUUCUUAGGAGUAAUUUGGUUUUAUAUAUAUACUAUUUAACUACAUAUAUGUAUUUUAUAUCAAAAGUAAUAGAUAUGCUUCACAGAUAAACCCAAUAAAUAUUUCACACACUCA